This is a long non-coding RNA of Strongylocentrotus purpuratus (purple sea urchin), 768 nucleotides long. RefSeq lists it as uncharacterized. The record is from RefSeq and is a predicted model, not a curated record. NCBI's taxonomy places the organism in Eukaryota, Metazoa, Echinodermata, Echinoidea, Camarodonta, Strongylocentrotidae. The transcript has 4 exons.
AUCACGCGCGAUGCGUGGCCACGCCCUCCAACUCAUACAAUGAUGAUCAGUAUGUCUUUAUCGAGGAAGGUUGUUCAGUUGAUGAGAGCACUGUGAUCAGUCCAGACCAGCUCGACUUUGUCGGAGUCACCAUGACAACCUUCCGUUUUGUUGGCUUAGGCAACAGGGUCUACAUCCACUGCGACCUGCUCGUCUGUGACGCAACAACGGGAACCUCACAGAAUGCGACGUCACAUGCCCAAGCGGGCUGAAUGCGCGUCAACGUCGUGAUGUCACAGGCUCAAAGUCUACGCUUGCGCGUACGAGGAUCAGCCGUGGACCAAUCAGAUUUAGACGUAGCCAAGAGAAUUACGAGCAGAAGGAAUGGAUUUCAUACGACGGUAAACCCACGAUCUCCUCUUUCAACCCCUGGAUGCUGGCUAUCGUUGCCAUGGCAGCGAUCAUGAUAGUUCUCCUCGUCGUCGUGGUGGUGGUCGUCAAGAAGAUGACGUCAGCGAUUCGUUCGUCCCAGAUGCCCGGAAGCGGGAUGAUGAAGCAGCAGUACCACUUAUGAACGAAUGAAUUGUAUUUAAAAAAAAGUCGUCGUAGAGGCCAGCAGACAGGUAGUUUCCGAAGUGAACAUAGGCUUAUUGAAACGAAAACAAUUAUUAUGUUUUUCUUUAAUUGUUUGUAUUAUCACAUGUAUAUUUCACAUGUAGCAGUGUUUAUACGUUGUUGUUUUUAUAAUGGUUGGUGAAAUGAAAUGAAGGUUUAUUGAAAUGAAAUGAU